AGGCCACUGCUAUCAGAGUUCGAUUAAGCCAUGCGAGUCGAGAGGUGCAAGACCUCGGCAUACUGCUCAGUAACACGUGGACAAUCUAACCUACGGAGGGGGAUAACCCCGGGAAACUGGGGAUAAUACCCCAUAGACUAUGGAUGCUGGAAUGCUUUGUAGUCCAAAGGUGAGCCGCCAUAGGAUGGGUCUGCGGCCGAUUAGGUUGUUGUUGGGGUAAUGGCCCAACAAGCCUGUAAUCGGUACGGGUUGUGGGAGCAAGAGCGAGAUGGAUUCUGAGACACGAAUCCAGGCCCUACGGGGCGCAGCAGGCGCGAAAACUUUACAAUGCGGGAAACCGUGAUAAAGGAACUCCGAGUGCCCGUUAAAUCGGGCUGUCCAUCUGUUUAAAUAACAGGUGAAGAAAGGGCCGGGCAAGACCGGUGCCAGCCGCCGCGGUAAUACCGGCGGCUCGAGUGGUGGCCACUAUUACUGGGCUUAAAGCGUUCGUAGCUGGUCUGUUAAGUCUCUGGGGAAAUCUACCGGCUUAACCGGUAGGCGUCUCAGGGAUACUGGCAGACUAGGGACCGGGAGAGGUGAGAGGUACUCCAGGGGUAGGAGUGAAAUCCUGUAAUCCCUGGGGGACCACCUGUGGCGAAGGCGUCUCACCAGAACGGCUCCGACAGUGAGGGACGAAAGCUGGGGGAGCAAACCGGAUUAGAUACCCGGGUAGUCCCAGCUGUAAACGAUGCGCGUUAGGUGUAUCGGUGACCACGAGUCACCGAGGUGCCGAAGAGAAAUCGUGAAACGUGCCGCCUGGGAAGUACGGUCGCAAGGCUGAAACUUAA
RNAcentral lists this ribosomal RNA (827 nucleotides) under uncultured archaeon. RNAcentral's name for it is "bacterial SSU rRNA". It matches the Rfam family "Archaeal small subunit ribosomal RNA", at positions 21 to 859 of the family's 1478-position model. The record is from RNAcentral.